GAACGGGUGAGUAACGUGAGCAACCUGCCCCUGACUCCGGGAUAACGGUGGAAACGCCUAAUACCGGAUACGACACGCCACCUGGUCGGGUGGAAAGUUUAUCGGUCAGGGAUGGGCUCGCGGCCUAUCAGCUUGUUGGUGGGGUAACGGCCUACCAGGCGAUUACGGGUAGCCGGCCUGAGAGGGCGACCGGCCACACUGGGACUGAGACACGGCCCAGACUCCUGCGGGAGGCAGCAGUGGGGAAUAUUGCGCAAUGGGCGAAAGCCUGACGCAGCGACGCCGCGUGGGGGAUGACGGCCUUCGGGUUGUAAACCUCUUUUACCACCAACGCAGGACGGUAGGUGGGGAAUAAGGACCGGCU
Molecule: ribosomal RNA, 364 nt
Filed under: Nocardiopsis tropica
Lineage: Bacteria; Bacillati; Actinomycetota; Actinomycetes; Streptosporangiales; Nocardiopsidaceae
Description: bacterial SSU rRNA
Rfam family: Bacterial small subunit ribosomal RNA
Source: RNAcentral